GCUGGAAUUGCUAGUAAUGGCAGGUCAGCAUACUGCCGUGAAUACGUUCCCGGGCCUUGUACACACCGCCCGUCACACCAUGAGAGUUGGAAAUACCCGAAGCCUGUGAGCUAACAGUAAUGAGGCAGCAGUCGAAGGUAGAGCCAAUGAUUGGGGUGAAGUCGUAACAAGGUACC
RNAcentral lists this ribosomal RNA (176 nucleotides) under uncultured bacterium. RNAcentral describes it as "partial 16S ribosomal RNA". It matches the Rfam family "Bacterial small subunit ribosomal RNA", at positions 1325 to 1500 of the family's 1533-position model. The record is from RNAcentral.